GUAAAUAAUUAUGAAAACAUAAGCAACAUAAAUACAGUCGCAUGCAAUAAUAACAAGCAGUAACUACCAUACUAACAACCAUAUGGGGACAUAAGCUAAAACACUAAUCACCUAUGGGUAACCCUACUAUCCCACACCCAACAACAUCCCGCGCCUUUUUCCCAUCAGCAUCCCGCGCCUUUUUCCCUUUUCACCUAGUCUCCUGGACGCACGCUAUGUUAACCCUUUUCUGCUGAAGAACCUUCGCCAACCACACCAACCGAUAUGGGGUACAGUGGCACACACACGCACUAUAUCGAAAAACGCAAAUGUAGCAAACUAGAUAACAACAGAAUAGACCACACUCGGAAUGCUAGCUAAAAUACGUAAAAAGGUGCACAAAGUAAACAAGUGAGCGGGAGGUACCAACUCCCGGUGGAAAAACCUGAAAAUGUGCUUUGAUGCGCCCAAGUUUUCCUGAAGCUUAGCAGAAUGUGCAGCUCUAUUGCGUCCUGCCGCGAGUCUGAACGAGAGUUGCCGGAGAUCCUCNNNNNNNNNNNNNNNNNNNNNNNNNNNNNNNNNNNNNNNNNNNNAACGCAAAUGUAGCAAACUAGAUAACAACAGAAUAGACCACACUCGGAAUGCUAGCUAAAAUACGUAAAAAGGUGCACAAAAUAAACAAGAGAGCGGGAUGUACCAACUCCCGGUGGAAAAACCUGGAAAUGUGCUUUGCUGCGCCCGAGUUUUCCUGAAUCUUAGCAAAAUGCGCGGCUCUAUUGCGUCCUGCCGCGAGUCUGAACGAGAGUUUGAAUGAUAGCUGUCGGAGAUCCUCGCCGGUGAAAUAUGUACCUGUCCAAGAAAACAAAAUACACCCACAAAAGCAGAGGAGAGAAUAAAAAGGAAAAGUGCAAGGGUUUCAAGAAAAAUUUCCGGCGAAAACAAAAAUCCCAGACCUCUGAAAAGCAAGAAUUCAAAAAUUCUAGAAAACUCGAAACAAAACAAGCUUUAGAUAGCCAAAUAAAGGCUAAAUCGGACAGACUUGUGCAGUAUAUUAGUAGGUUAAAGAUUGUGUUGAAGUUAUUUUCUUAUAAAAACAGUAAAAGCUUAUUAUUGUCAAAACUUUAAAGUAAUUCGCCAAAUCUGAAAAUAGUUGCGCAAAAAAAUACAGAAAAAUACCGAAAAAAUACAGAAAAAAAUACUGAAAGCAGUUGCGUAAAAAAUACAGCAAAAAAAUACAGAAAAAUAUCGAAAAAAUACAGAACAAAAAUACAGAAAAAAAUACAGAAAUUAUAUUUGCUACAGUAAUAUCGCGAAAUAAAAAUUAAGAUCUUGAUCAAUUGGUUAUAGAUUUGGGGAUAAAAUCAGUUGGGGUUUGUGCGCAAUGGGAAGAUACUUUUUUUGACACCAAGUUUUCGAAAAUCCACCACCAGACACCGGAGUUAUGGCCGGAAAAUGGUGACGGAAAUACUAUUCACAAAGAGGGAGAAAAGGAUUUACUUACUUGUUGGUGUCGCCCACCGGACGCCGGAGUUAUGGCCGGAAAAUGGUGAAGAAAAUACUAUUCACAGAGAAAAAGAGAGUGAAAGGAGAGGGAUAAGAGAGAGAACUUACUUGGAGGGGAGAGGGGGUUGGGGAAAAGUUUACGUUGGAGAGGAGAGAGAGAAGACAGCCAACGUUCAAACAGAAUACCCAAGAAGUAGAGUUCACA
RNAcentral lists this long non-coding RNA (1687 nucleotides) under Nicotiana benthamiana. Its description in RNAcentral is "long non-coding RNA (NBEN_LNC027441)". The record is from RNAcentral. Lineage: Eukaryota; Viridiplantae; Streptophyta; Magnoliopsida; Solanales; Solanaceae.